UUGGUGAAUUGAGGAAGUUAUUGUUCAAGAAGGAGAAGGUUUUGGCUAAUGGGACAGCAAGGGAAUCACGUUUCGAGUCUUGGGGACACUGAGAGUGCAUGAUUCAGGUAACCUUUCGGAUUAUUUACUGCUAUGUGAAAGUGUGCACGGAUUUAGGGUUUGUGAAACCCAUUUAGAGAUUAGAUGGAUUGCUGUGUUGUUAUUCAACGUUUAUAACCUUGUAUUAGGACCCUUAGAGGUCCAGAAGGAUCCAUGUUUGUAUAUUCGGGAAAAUAUGUAUCUCAGGAAGCAGUUCGAUCGACUGCAUGGCGUGGACUCGCCGAGUCGGAUGAUCAGACUCGGCGAGUAGCUUGAAGAUUUACUGGGACUCGCCGAGUUGUUCUUCAGACUCGGCGAGUAGAGUCGGGGUGGCCCCGCGAUUCUUCCAGGAGUAACUCGUUGAGUCAAAGAGAGUACUCGACGAGUAGAAGGGAAUUUUAGAGGAAUGAAGGACGACCAGACUCGCCGAGUCGCCAGGGAACUCGCCGAGUCCAGUCGAGUUGACAGCGGACUGUUGACUAGAGUUGACUGGUGUGAUUUCUUAGGGUCAACUAAUGAGGAAGAUAGAAGUAUUAAUAAGAGACAUAUGAUGUGACAGGGAGCUUGUAGCUCGGAGGAUCAAGUGUAAGGGAUUUCAGGAGUUGCUAUCUUCCAGUGACCGCGAGGUGAGUCUUCUCACUAUACUUCACCCGGAAGGGUUUGAUUGUGUGACCGGAAGGUCAAGUAUGUUAUGUGUUAUGUUUAUAUGCUAUAAAUGGAAAGUUAGCUGCUACGCGUGAUAUACAUGCUUAUAUAUGGGCCGGAAGGCAAAGUAUUAUGUGACAGAAAGGUCAGGUAUGAUAUAUGGUGUAUGUGCUUUAUGUGUUAGAGUAUUUGUAUUAUGUGUUAUAUAUGUGUAUGGGCCGGAAGGCAAUUAUCUUAUGGGCCGGAAGGCAAUUAUCUUAUGGGCCGGAAGGCAAUUAUCUUAUGGGCCGGAAGGCAAUUAUCUUAUGGGCCGGAAGGCAAUUAUCUUAUGGGCCGGAAGGCAAUUAUCUUAUGGGCCGGAAGGCAAAUAUCUUAUGGGCCGGAAGGCGAGUAUCUCAUGGGCCGGAAGGCAUUGUACAGUUGACCGGAAGGUCAGGGCCUGGAAAGGCGUAUGUGCGUAAGGUAUAUUGGGGAACUCACUAAGCUUCGUGCUUACGUUGUUUAUGUUAUGUUGUUUCAGGUUCUUACAGUAACGCGGGAUGGCAACGGUUCGAUUGUACACACCGAAGAAAGAGUUGUGUUUUGGAGGAUCCUGGUCUUCUAUUAUAACGAAAAAGAAACUAUGUUUUGUAAUUCGAAUGUGAAUAAGAUUUUAAACAAGUGUUUUAAUAUUAAAUUGAUUAUUUAAAUGAAAAUUUUGUUUUUGGAAAUCACGGUGUUACAAAUUGGUAUCAGAGCCUUGGUUUGAGGGAUUCGGACGCGCCUACGGGUGAGUCUGGACUCAAACUGAGGAAUUAAGAAAAGGUUUUCAAAUAAAUAGUUUUCUAAAAGUGAAUAAGAGUUCAAAGAGAAAGCAAGAAAGAGCAGUGUGUACAAUCAGCCAGAGCCAAACGGUGAUUUCCCAAAAUACCCUUACUUUUGUAUUAUGAAAUAUCUAUUAUGCACUUUAUGAGACAUUAUUGCAUGCUAGAGACAGGCUAGGUAUUUCACAUCUUAGGACUAGAGUGGCCUGAUUUGUGAUGCCUUAGUCUAGGGUUUGCUGUUAUAUGUGCGUUAUGCUUUUGUGUGUAUGUGAUGAGUGAGAGUAUCUAGUUAGAACGCACAAGGGGUAAAGCUACGGGGUACAGAGGUACUUCCGAGGAUGAGCCGAGAAGGUGGAGCUACCACAGAUGGGGAGUCCUAUGUAUGCUUCAAUGCUCGAAUGCUGCUUGCUUUGUGCUUUGUGGAGUUAUCGAUGAUGGGAGUCAGCUACUAAGUGAGUAUGACGAUACUCAGGAGGUAGAGGGCUGGCAUCAUUAGGAACUCUUCAGCAGCUGAUAGCAAAGAAGUGGGAGGACAGCGGAAGGGACUAGGGAGUAAACCUAGCCAGAUGAGUGCGCUGGUAGAGUAGAGGAUUUCGCUGGAAAGCGAGCACGCGCGAUGAGAUGGGUGAAAGAGCAGGUUUAUCAGCUACUUAGGAACUCUGGGAUGGUCCGUGUGGAAAGUAUGGGUAGAUGUGGCAGGUAGUAUGGGCCCGUACUACUGAAAGCAGAGGACCCAUACUUGAUACAGGGGGCAUUCUGAAGGUCCUAAGGAACAGAUUGAGGGGUGAUGUUAUGGUUCGGAUACCAUACAUCGGAGCGGAUACAGAGUGAUGUUAUGGUCAGGGCACCAUACAUCGGAACAGAUUGAGAUAGAUGUUGUGGUUCGAGUGCUAUACAUUGGAGCAGAUUGAGGAGUGGUGCUAUGGUUCAGGUACCAUACACCGAAGCAUGUUGAGGAGGGAUGUCAUGGGAUGAGUACCAUGGUUCGUAGUGGAUGAUGCUUGUGGCUAUCUUGUUAUCCGGUUAUCGAUCGGACGAGCACGAGCGAGCGGGAUGCGAGGAUUCGCGAGAUCCGGCGUGAUGAGGUUGCUGCAUUGUUGCGGGCUGAGUCGCCAGAAUUGUUUGGGUCGAUCAGGACCACUAUGAUUGAAGUAGUUUGAUGAGCGAUAUGCGGCUUUCGCAGAGACGGCUGCCGCGGCGGUUACAGCGGCUGUAGCAACGGCAAAGAAAGGGGCUAGUCGGGGUUUUCAGUAUCGGGACUUCUAUUAUGCGAAGCCUCCCACAUUCGAUGGAGUUCAGGACUCGAUUGUUGCUAUGAGAUGGUUAUCAGACAUGGAGGGGUGUUUCUCCACGAGUUUAUGCCCUGCUGAUCAGAGGGUGGGGUGUGCUCUGAACCUGUUGAGGCUCGGGGCGAAGGAUUGGUGGAGAUUGACCACGAGGUCAUUUUCCGAUGCGCAGAGGGCUGCGGUUUCAUGGGAUCAAUUCAGAGGGAUGUUCAGUACUCGCUAUGUUCCGCGGGAUGAAAAGGAGAAAUUGGCUCGGAAGUUCCUUAAGCUGAAGCAGGAUUUGGAGUCGGUGACUGAGAGCACCGGGAUGUUUAUUGAGAGGGCGAUGUUUUGCCCUGAGUUCGCUUCGGAGCAGGCUCAGAUGUCCCGAUAUCCGAGUAUGCUCAAGGGGGGGUAUCAGACAGUUCGUGUCUGCGCAGAGGCGCGAGACCGUGUUGGUAUCGCAGGAGGCCGCCAUGUGGCGUGAGUUAGAGGUUGAGUUGCAGUUGCGUGAGAUGAGGCAGGCCCCGAUGCAGUCGCAGUCGGCGCCGAAACGGUCCAUGACCGUAGACGUUAGAAUGGGGGAUCGGAGCGGUCACACUUGUGGGAAGUGUGAGAGAGAUGGCACCGGAGCUUGUUGGCCCAGUGGUGCAUGCCGCAAGUGCGGAAAGGAGGGGCAUGGUGCACGGGAUUGUCGGCAGUCAGUGCCAAUUCGGGAUUUCAGGAUUUGUUAUCAGUGUCGGCAGGUUGGACAUUUGAGGGUCAACCGUCCACAGUUUCCUGCAGGACCGGUGCAGGCUCUAGCAUCGGCCACCUUGAGGAGUUCAGGAGGAGGACAGGAUGGAGCAGAGCCCAAGGGCUCAGGGUCGUGCUUAUCGGCUUGCGGCAGAGGGAGACGGAGCAGUGCCGGAGGCAGCUGCGGGUAUGAUGCUCUCUUGAUGUCUUGAGUAGCUUGCGUUGAUUGUGGCGUAUUGUUUGUGCUGGUGUCUGGUGUGGAUUUCGAUGCGGUAUUCGUUGUUUCGCGGGUUUGGCAUGGUUAUGGAUUGGUGCUUCAGGUUUUCGCUUGGCAUUCGUUGUUCCCUGAUGGUUUAGUAUGAUUAUAGUUUGGUGUUUUGGUACCGGUAGCCUUGUGCGGUUUUCGAUGCGAUAUUCAACCUUUGGCAGGUUGUGGGUUUGGUUAUGGGUUAUUGCUUGGGAAUUCCGUUGGUCAUCGUUCGUGAGGGUUGAUAGUGGAGAUGCGGCACUGGGUUGAAUGACGGGUAGCAUCUGCAGUUGUGGAGUGGAUAAUUGAAAGAUCGGAUUCUUUUGAGCGGAUUGAUCAGGGAGGAGAUGUGUUUUGCUGAGGGUUGCUUACGCUUGUGGGAAGCAGUCAGUGGGUAAAUGUUCUCUUUGUGCAGGAUGGUUCUGAAAGGUCGUUAAUGACGAUCGGUGGCAGUUAGUCAGUGCUUUAGUGGGGGAGAAUUGUAAAAUUCUCCGGGAGAUCGAUGAGUAUGUAAGGGUGCUUAGCUGUUGGGAUUCAGCAGUGUUUGUCAGCGCAAAGUAUAGGCCGACGAGAGCGAGUGUUGGGUAUGCGGGGCGAGAUACAGACCUAGGGCAUUUGAUUGUGGAGGCCUGAGAGGAGGUCGGGAUCAAGCUUGAGUAAGUAAUCGGAAUUUUGCGAUCAGAGUAUUGGUACGUUUGAGGUACGUGAUGGGUUGUACUGCAUUAAUCCCACGGGAUUAUGUUGUGCAUGUUUCUAGAGCUGGAACCGGAAGGUUCCCAGAGUUAGAACCUGAGGGUUCGCAGAGUUGGGUUGUACGGACCCACAGAGAUAUAGCCUCGAGUGGCUAGUAUGUGUUAUGAGAGUCGGUCCAGUCAUACUGGAGACUCUGUUGGUAUUGCUGGAUUAGUUUGAGAUUUGCGGAUCGCGUAUGUUGCAGUGUGAUUGCAUUGGAAGGUCUGGCCCCGGGUUAUUGAUCUUGUUUAGCGGAGGCAGUGAUUUUGAUGAGUGGAGAGAGUGCAUGGGAUUGAGAGCCCCUGCAAUGAGAACCAGAGUAUGUGAAUAGCAGUUACGCAAAAAGGGUGGUGUCGCUUGGGGCGAGCACCGUGGCACCGGUUGGAGUGGCAUUAUGUUCAAGAGAGUUCCGUGGAAAAGGAAAAGAGGAGGGUAUGUAACUCCGAAGGGGGUGCAAGUUCACGAAAGUGAAAGCUGCAGAGCAGAGUUAUGGUUAGAGUAUUUCGAGUAUGGUUUUGAGCAUCGUGUUCGCGGCAGUGGAGUAGGAACCCAUCCGGUUGGGAUGUCUGUUGAGGCUCAGAAGGGAUGCAUGGAGAGAGAAAAUUUUAAAUUCUCAGUGUGAAUCUGAUCAGAGUGUAGGGUGGAUGUAGUGGUUCAUCUUGGGAGAUGUUCGAGGAUAUCAUCAGUGUAUCGGGUCUUCCAACCUACGAGUGUUGGGGCUAGUUCAGCAUGUGUAUAUGAUGGCAAGAGGAGAAUUUGUGAGAGUUACUCUGGGAGUGAGAAUGGAUCUCUCAGUUGGUCUGGGAUGGACAAAGUGGGCUUUGGAUCGGGGAUCCGGUGGUUCAGGGCUUCCUAACCCUCAUUGUUCGAGUGAUUGUUGGGGUUUAAGAGCAGAGUUGCAUCUUGGGUGGUUCUCGGUUACAGAGAGAGAUGGACAGUACAGAGUUUGGGCUUCAGUCGACAGAGCAGACUCAGCAGGUUAAGGAGAGUUAGUGAUCGUUUAGAGUUAACAGGAAAGUUAUGCAGGCAGACGCCGUUACGAGUAUGUGAUUCAGGUCAGCGACUUCGUAUUUCUGACGGGGUGCUUCGAUUUAGGAAGAGGGGUAAAUGGGGGGCCCCGGUAUGUUGGGUCUUUUCGUGAAGGUGCGAAGGUAGGAAGGGUGGCCUAUCGUUUGGAGCUGUCAACGGAAUUGGGACGGAUCCAUGACACUGGUAUGUGUCGCAGUUGAAGAGGUGUAUAGCGGAUGAGUCAGCAGUGGUUCUACUAGAGAACGAUUAGGUGGAUGCGAGCCUGUGUUACGUCGAGAGGCCAGUGGCCGUCGGAGAUCGGAAGAUCAAGGUUCUGAGGAACAAGGAGGUACCUCUGGUAUUGGUUCAGUAGCGACCUCGGAAGAUAUCGGAAGUGUUUAGGGAAGCCGAAACGUGUGAUGCGGGAGCAGCAUCCAGAACUAUUUUCAGAGUGAGACUUCGAGGGCGAAGUCUAAUUCUAGUGGGGGAGAAUUGUAACAGCCCAAAAUCUCAAGUAUUGUUAAAUUGCAUUUUGGGGUGUUUUAAAGGGGAGACUCGGCGAGUUGGAGCCAGACUCGCCGAGUAGGGUCGCAGAUUUGGUCGCGGGUUCGCGACUGGACUCGACGAGUCCAGGUAUGGACUCGGCGAGUCGACGCUGUUCAGCAGAAACCCUAGCCGUUUCGUAUUGGGUCGUAUUUAAGGGUUGUAUGUCGUCAUUUCACGUCUUUUGGCCGAUUGUGGAGAACCCUAGACGACUGUGGCAUUUGGAGCAAAACUUGAAGGCCAUUAUUGACUUUGAAGGAAUUGUGGUGCAAGAAGAGGAAGGAUUUUGGCCAAAGGAAGAGCAAGGGGGUCGAGUUCUGAGGUUUGGGGACACAGAGAGUAUGUUUUCAGGUAAGGUUUCGGAUCAUUCCUGUUAUUUUGAUGUGUACACGAAUUUAGGGUUUAUGAAACCCAUUUGGAGAUUUGAUGGAUUAUUAUGUUGUUAUACAAAGGUUUCUACCCUAGUAAUAGGAUGAUUAGAGGUCCAGAAGUCCCAUGAGUGUGUAUCUCGGGAAAAACGUAUCUCAGGAAGCAGUUGGAUCGACUGCAUGGCGUGGACUCGCCGAGUCGGAUGAUCAGACUCGGCGAGUAGCUUGAAGAUUCACUGGGACUCGCCGAGUUGUUCUUCAGACUCGGCGAGUGGAGUCGGGGUGGCCCCGCGAUUCUUCCAGGAGUGACUCGUCGAGUCAAAGAGGAUACUCGACGAGUAGAAGGGGAAUCUCAGAGGAUUGAAGGACGACCAGACUCGCCGAGUCGCCAGGGAACUCGCCGAGUCCAGUCGAGCUGACAUUGGACUGUUGACCAGAGUUGACUGGUGUGAUUCUUAGGGUCAGUUAACGUGGAAGAUAGAAGUAUUAAAUAAGGGAUAUAUGAUGUUACAGGGAGCUUGUAGCUCGGAGGAUCAAGUGCAAGGGAUUUUAGGAGUUGCUAUCUUCUAGUGUCCGCGAGGUGAGUCUUCUCACUAUACCUCACCCGGAAGGGUUUGAUUGUGUGACCGGAAGGUCAAGUAUGUUAUGUGUUAUGUUUAUAUGCUAUAAAUGGA
RNAcentral lists this long non-coding RNA (7098 nucleotides) under Lactuca sativa (garden lettuce). Its description in RNAcentral is "long non-coding RNA (LSAT_LNC003029)". The record is from RNAcentral. Lineage: Eukaryota; Viridiplantae; Streptophyta; Magnoliopsida; Asterales; Asteraceae.